UCAUUCUUCCACCACUGAAUGACCCUCCUGGACCUCGACCACACUGGACCCUACCUUGUCCUCUAACUCACUCACUAUUGCGCCUGCUCUUUAUCAUGUCAUCAAGUGACAUAUCCAAAGAAGCCAUUCAAAUGCAGAUUCUACAAAUCUAUUCCAAAUAAAGAAACCUGUCAAAACCACCAAAACAAAAUUUAUAAACAUUUAAUAAUAGGAAAUUCUUCUUGGAGAUGGUUUGCACCAACACAUUUCUCCCAUUCCCAUUUGUAUUGAAACCUCAAUACCAUCAUAAAUAUUCAAACAAAGUGGAUAUCCAUCUUGAUAUAUUUUUGUUUCUGCAAGAUUGAUGAUACUAGGUUACAUAGUAACAUCCAGAAUGAUAUUAAUUAUAGGAGGCAUAUUUAAGAAAAGACCCUAUUCUCAAAGCAGGCAUUAGGUCACACCUAUU
RNAcentral lists this long non-coding RNA (445 nucleotides) under Actinidia chinensis (golden kiwifruit). RNAcentral's name for it is "long non-coding RNA (ACHI_LNC002447)". The record is from RNAcentral. Lineage: Eukaryota; Viridiplantae; Streptophyta; Magnoliopsida; Ericales; Actinidiaceae.